Molecule: long non-coding RNA, 737 nt
Organism: Rhipicephalus sanguineus (brown dog tick)
Lineage: Eukaryota; Metazoa; Arthropoda; Arachnida; Ixodida; Ixodidae
Exons: 4
Source: RefSeq, a predicted model, not a curated record
UUGCAUGGCAGUGGAGCCUUGCCUACAGCGGCCCACGGCGAUUGGUCACGCUUCACCAGUGGACGUACACGUCUUGCUAGCCUUGCAUUUCUACGUCAACGGCAGCUUCCAGUCCACAGACGUCUUUUGCCUGUGGCUGCAGAGCACAUUCGAUUCCCGAUGACGCCGACGGCUGCUAAUAUCGUUGUGCCAUCGAUCGCAGACUAUAGUAAGGUCCUGGAAUCCAUCGAUUGCAAGCACUGGAAAAUCAAGCCACCUUAUGACUUGGAGCACAUGUACAGAAAUAGGAAGGACUUGUGCUCCCUAAAUGUACAAGUCUUUUGCAACGGUAGGGGUGUCAUCAUCCAGCCGACCUCAAAGGGGCCUGGAAGCACGCAUGGCAGCCUCAUCUGGAUGGACUGUGCUCUGCCUGGGAGCUUCAAGGGCAGAAAACUGCCUAAUGGCUGGUUGCUAGGUGACUUUCCCUAUGCCUGAGAGCCAUGGGUGCUCACCCUCCUGUCCGUGGCUGGCCCAGCUAAGCAGCAGUGCAGUGCAGCCCCCACCCAUGCAAGACAAGUCAUACAGUGCACCUUUGGUGUUCUGAGCACGACACAGCAUAUCCGUCCGGCAUGACAUUGACAGCAAUAGUGAUGAUGCAGUACCACGGGAUCAGGUGCCUCACUGUCAUCUAAUUGUACAGUGUAUCUCGGACAAAACGCACAAGGCCAACAAGUAGACAGCGACUACCAGUGACUGUG